Molecule: transfer RNA, 65 nt
Filed under: Panopea generosa
Lineage: Eukaryota; Metazoa; Mollusca; Bivalvia; Adapedonta; Hiatellidae
Description: tRNA-Cys
Source: RNAcentral
GAGCUAAUAGUCUAUAUAAGACGUUGAUUUGCAAAAUUAAAGAAGGGAGUCUCUCUCUUAGUUUU